Molecule: ribosomal RNA, 632 nt
Filed under: uncultured bacterium
Lineage: Bacteria
Description: bacterial SSU rRNA
Rfam family: Bacterial small subunit ribosomal RNA (bases 1-542)
Source: RNAcentral
CCUACGGGAGGCAGCAGUGGGGAAUUUUGGACAAUGGGCGAAAGCCUGAUCCAGCAAUGCCGCGUGAGUGAAGAAGGCCUUCGGGUUGUAAAGCUCUUUUGUCAGGGAAGAAACGGUGAGGGCUAAUAUCCCUUGCUAAUGACGGUACCUGAAGAAUAAGCACCGGCUAACUACGUGCCAGCAGCCGCGGUAAUACGUAGGGUGCAAGCGUUAAUCGGAAUUACUGGGCGUAAAGCGUGCGCAGGCGGUUUUGUAAGUCUGUCGUGAAAUCCCCGGGCUCAACCUGGGAAUUGCGAUGGAGACUGCAAGGCUAGAAUCUGGCAGAGGGGGGUAGAAUUCCACGUGUAGCAGUGAAAUGCGUAGAGAUGUGGAGGAACACCGAUGGCGAAGGCAGCCCCCUGGGUCAAGAUUGACGCUCAUGCACGAAAGCGUGGGGAGCAAACAGGAUUAGAUACCCUGGUAGUCCACGCCCUAAACGAUGUCUACUAGUUGUCGGGUUUUAAUUAACUUGGUAACGCAGCUAACGCGUGAAGUAGACCGCCUGGGGAGGUACGGUCGCGAAGUAGUAAACGUUACAAUAGUUAAGUUAGUAGGCGUUGAGACGNGCCGACGGACGACGACGAGGGAGGAGG